UACACUAGACUCAGUCGCGGCAGUCCUACAUACACGGACGAUUACAUUCCAUGGUUGGUGAGAUACUCUCACCCUCGUGUAUUACCCCCUGACGUACCUCUGGUCAGCGGUCUCCCCAAGAGGACCAACACUGAUUAUUGGGUUGGUCGCUUCGUUGAGUUCACAUAGCGUGCACUUGCCGAGUCGCAUGGGCCCAUGUCCCGUGAAACUAAGGCCAUGGCUGCACAGGCCCUUCGUGAUUGGGAUGCUAUGCGAGGGUUAUGAUUUGUGUUUAGCUAGACACCUUUAUUCUUAGUUGAACACUUUAAUUAUUGGUCUGACACUUUUAUUAUUUUGUUUUUGUAAUUGUAAUGGGACACUUUUAUUAUUCGUAUGGACAUGAGCACUUUGAUUUAAA
This is a long non-coding RNA of Chenopodium quinoa (quinoa), 397 nucleotides long. RefSeq lists it as uncharacterized. The record is from RefSeq and is a predicted model, not a curated record. Lineage: Eukaryota; Viridiplantae; Streptophyta; Magnoliopsida; Caryophyllales; Amaranthaceae. The transcript has 2 exons.